CAAGUCGAACGGGGAUCAUCAGUGUAGCAAUACAUCGGUGGUCCUAGUGGCGCACGGGUGAGUAACACGUGGGUAACCUGCCCUUGAGUUCGGGAUACCCCCUCGAAAGGGGGGCUAAUACCGGAUACGUUCCUCGGAUCGACAGGUCUGGGGAGGAAAGGUGGCGCAAGCUGCCGCUCUUGGAGGGGCUCGCGGCCUAUCAGCUAGUUGGCGGGGUAACGGCCCACCAAGGCUAUGACGGGUAGCUGGUCUGAGAGGACGACCAGCCACACGGGGACUGAGACACGGCCCCGACUCCUACGGGAGGCAGCAGUGGGGAAUUUUCCGCAAUGGGCGAAAGCCUGACGGAGUGACGCCGCGUGUGGGACGAAGGCCUUCGGGUCGUAAACCACUGUCAGUGGGAAAGAUGGGUGUCGACGCGAUAACCGUCGGCAUCUGACGGUACCUGCAGAGGAAGCCCCGGCCAACUCUGUGCCAGCAGCCGCGGUAAGACAGAGGGGGCAAGCGUUGCUCGGAAUUACUGGGCGUAAAGGGCGCGUAGGCGGGAUGGCAAGUCGGUCGUGAAAUCCUUCGGCUCAACCGAAGAACGUCGAUCGAUACUGCUGUUCUUGAGGAUUGCAGAGGAGACUGGAAUUCCCGGUGUAGCGGUGAAAUGUGUAGAGAUCGGGAGGAACACCGGUGGCGAAGGCGGGUCUCUGGGCAAUUCCUGACGCUGAGGCGCGAAAGCGUGGGGAGCAAACGGGAUUAGAUACCCCGGUAGUCCACGCUGUAAACGAUGACGACUAGGUGUGGGGGGGG
This 798-nucleotide ribosomal RNA is filed under the name uncultured Bacillota bacterium. RNAcentral's name for it is "bacterial SSU rRNA". It matches the Rfam family "Bacterial small subunit ribosomal RNA", at positions 58 to 831 of the family's 1533-position model. The record is from RNAcentral. Lineage: Bacteria; Bacillati; Bacillota.